UUGUAAACUUCUUUUAUUUAGGAAGAAACCACUUUUUUUUAAGAGUGUUGACGGUAUUAAAUGAAUAAGCACCGGCUAACUCCGUGCCAGCAGCCGCGGUAAUACGGAGGGUGCAAGCGUUAUCCGGAUUUACUGGGUUUAAAGGGUGUGUAGGCGGACUUUUAAGUCAGGGGUGAAAUCCCGGGGCUAACCCCGGAACUGCCUUUGAUACUAUUAGUCUUGAAUUAUGUUGAGGUUGGCGGAAUAUAUCAUGUAGCGGUGAAAUGCAUAGAUAUGUUAUAGAACACCGAUUGCGAAGGCAGCUGGCUAAACAUAUAUUGACGCUGAGGCACGAAAGCGUGGGUAGCGAACAGGAUUAGAUACCCUGGUAGUCCACGCCCUAAACGAUGAUUACUCGUCAUUUGCGAUACACAGUAAGUGAC
This 422-nucleotide ribosomal RNA is filed under the name uncultured bacterium. RNAcentral describes it as "bacterial SSU rRNA". It matches the Rfam family "Bacterial small subunit ribosomal RNA", at positions 423 to 847 of the family's 1533-position model. The record is from RNAcentral.